CGGAGGGUGCAAGCGUUAUCCGGAUUCACUGGGUUUAAAGGGUGCGUAGGCGGACUGUUAAGUCAGUGGUGAAAUCUCAGAGCUUAACUCUGAAACUGCCAUUGAUACUAUCAGUCUUGAAUGUUCUGGAGGUGAGCGGAAUAUGUCAUGUAGCGGUGAAAUGCUUAGAUAUGACAUAGAACACCCAUUGCGAAGGCAGCUCACUACGGAAAUAUUGACGCUGAGGCACGAAAGCGUGAGGAUCAAACAGGAUUAGAUACCCUGGUAGUUCACGCCCUAAACGAUGGAUACUCGACAUACGCGAUACACAGUGUGUGUCUGAGCGAAAGCAUUAAGUAUCCCACCUGGGAAGUACGACCGCAAGGUUG
RNAcentral lists this ribosomal RNA (368 nucleotides) under uncultured organism. Its description in RNAcentral is "bacterial SSU rRNA". It matches the Rfam family "Bacterial small subunit ribosomal RNA", at positions 526 to 896 of the family's 1533-position model. The record is from RNAcentral.